CUCCUACCUGGACAGCAGCAAACACUGCCCCCGUGACUUCCUGGUGCCAUCCUUGGCUCCAUUACGUCCAUUCUCCAGUGGCUGGCAGAGUGAGCUUGAAGAACGUGUGACAUGCCCUUCAGAAUGUUCUACUUCCUGUUCCAGAAGGACAGCCCCUCAUGCCUUCCCGCGGGCCACACGCCACCUCUUCCUCAGUGCCCCAGCCUGGCAUCCUCUUCCUGCAUUCAGCCUUCUUUUCCGAGGGUCAACAUCUUGUGAGUAUGGGGACCAGGCAACGUGAGCUCCAGCUCUAACUCUGUCCCAAUCAGCUGUGUGACCUUGGGCAAGAUGCUUAACUUCUCUGGGCCUCAGUUUUCUCAUCUGUGAAAUGAAGUGUCAUCUUGCUGGAGGGCAGAAGGAUUCCCUGGAACCUGGGGGCCAGCAGGACAGAGGAAACAGAAAGUACAUGACCGAUGAUGUCUUUCGACCACAGAAAGGGCUGGAAGAAGCAGGGGACCUACUGUUUGAAU
This is a long non-coding RNA of Homo sapiens (human), 509 nucleotides long. Ensembl annotates it as long intergenic non-protein coding RNA 2940. NCBI's taxonomy places the organism in Eukaryota, Metazoa, Chordata, Mammalia, Primates, Hominidae. The record is from Ensembl.